RNAcentral lists this transfer RNA (76 nucleotides) under Burkholderiales bacterium. RNAcentral describes it as "tRNA-Thr". It matches the Rfam family "tRNA". Rfam says of the family: Transfer RNA (tRNA) molecules are approximately 80 nucleotides in length. The record is from RNAcentral. RNAcentral also lists the same sequence under 1 other name. Lineage: Bacteria; Pseudomonadati; Pseudomonadota; Betaproteobacteria; Burkholderiales.
GCCGGCUUAGCUCAGCUGGUAGAGCAAUCGCCUUGUAAGCGAUAGGUCAUCCGUUCGAGUCGGAUAGCCGGCACCA